UGAGUCACUGACGUGAUCUUCCUGUCCGGGUUGGCCCCCCCCCCCUUGAGUUGUGCCGUGGGGAAGAUCUUUGUGGGCUAUACUCGGCCUCGUCUCAGAAUAGUAGUUUGGUGGUUGAAGAUAUCCCUCUAGGGGUGUGGGGGCUGUGCUUUGGCAAAGUGGGUGGGGUUAUAUCCUGCCUGUUUGGCCCUGUCCGGGGUAUCGUCGGACGGGGCCACAGUGUCUUCCGACCCCUCCUGUCUCAGCCUCCAGUAUUUAUGCUGCAGUAGUUUGUGUCGGGGGGCUAGGGUCAGUCUGUUAUAUCUGGAGUAUUUAUCCUGUCUUAUCCGGUGUCCUGUGUGAAUUUAAGUAUGCUCUCUCUAAUUCUCUCUUUUUCUCUCUCUUUCUUUCUCUCUCUUGGAGGACCUGAGCCCUAGGACCAUGCCUCAGGACUACCUGGCCUGAUGACUCCUUGCUGCCCCCAGUCCACUUGGCCGUGCUGCUGCUCCAGUUUCAACUGUUCUGACUGCGACUAUGAAACCCUGAUCUGUCCACCGGACGUGCUACCUGUCCCAGACCUGCUGUUUUCAACUCUCUAGAGAAUGCAGGCGCGGUAGAGAUACUCUUAAUGAUCGGCUAUGAAAAGCCAACUGACAUUUACUCCUGAGGUGCUGACUUGCUCCACCCCCGACAACCACUGUGAUUAUUAUUAUUUGACCCUGCUGGUCAUCUAUGAACAUUUUAACAUCUUGGCCAUGUUCUGUUAUAAUCUCCACCCGGCACAGCCAGAAGAGGACUGGCCACCCCUCAUAGCCUAGUUCCUCUAAGUUUCUUCCUAGGUUCUGGCCUUUCUAGGGAGUUUUUCCUAGCCACCGUGCUUCUACACCUGCAUUGCUUGCUGUUUGGGGUUUUAGGCUGGGUUUCUGUACAACACUUUACAACACAUUAUAAAGGCUUUAUAAAUACAUUUGAUUUGAUGAUCCUUCUCUUGCGCCUCCUCCUAAUAGCCCUUAUACACAUUCCAUGAUCGAUCGUUCUAAACACACUUCCUAUCGGUUUGGCAAUUUCCGGUCAAUCUAGUUAUUGACGAAAUAACGUUACUACCAUUAUUUCGCAGUUUUCUACUAGGUGUCUUCAGGACUUGCCUCAAAUUAAUAUUAAUGAUGUACAUCGAAUUGUUAAAUCAGCCUCCGAGACUAGCUAGCAAGAAUGAAAAGGGGUUCAAGAUGUAUAUAUGAAGCUACAUAGACAACUAUGAAGAUGGUGUUUCAGCACUCCGUACCAGUGAUAGUGGUCCAAAGCCACUGCUCCUGUGUUGCAGGAAGUGCUCUGUGCAAUCAUCUGGUGUCUCUUCUUUACCAGACAGCGCACUACUCUCAAGUAAACAUUCCUGCUGCACCACCAGUUCACAGCUGCACAGACACAGAACAGCGUUGGCACAAGCCAAGAACACUUGUGAGUCUAUCAAUAUCCAUAAAAAAAUGCACCUGAAAAGUAUUCAGCCUAUGUAACAGUAAAUCAUUGUUAAUUAGGGUGUGAAACCAGGUCCGGUUGAUGGGAUAGAGUUCUGUAAACUUACUAACUCGUGUGCUGAUGGAAUAAGAAGUUCUCUCUACAAAGCACUCAAUGGAUACAUGCCUGACAUGGACCUACUCCGCGUCUCAGAAACGGAUGCCAACUUUUCUCCACUUACUGCCCCUCUUGUGACAACAAUGGAAAUGUCAGCUGACGUGCCCCUGGUUGAGUCCGCUUUUGGGCCAGUGCAAGCCGGCAGUGUUCUGUCCUAUCAGCUUCCACAGCCAAAGACCCGUGAAAUUGUGAAGAUUGCCGAUGCCCCUUCUCCACCAAUACUUCCAUUAGAUGGCUACAUGCUUCAGUCUUCCCAGUGUGCUUACGUCCUUAGCCAUCAGGAGCAGUUCCACCUCAAGGCAUUAGAGACAACCUACGAGAUGUCAUACAAAGUUGUCGUUUCCGAGAGGUUUGCCAUGUCCGGGGAGAGACCUCACCUCAGACCACCUAGCUGAGCGGAUGUUCAAGGUAUCUGGUAUGCAGACCAUGGAGAUGAAGAGGGGGCUUGCCAUGGAGCCAGAGGCUGUACAGGAGUACUGCACACUGAAGAAUGUUAACUUCUUUCCGUGUGGCUUCGUAGUGCACCCAGAUGCCCCGUGGUUAGGAUCCUUUCCAGAUGGCAUCAUAUUUGAUCCCAGUGUAAGACCACACUUUGGACUCUUAGAGGUCAAGUGCCCAAAUGUACCAAGUUAUGUUGACUGCCCUUACCUGAAGAUACAGAAUAGAGAGCUGAAGUUGAAGAGAUCUCAUGUUUACUACUGGCAGGUGCAAGGUCAAAUCCUUCUCACAGAUUGUAACUGGUGUGACUUUGUCAUCUGUGCACAGGAGGACAUCCUAGUUGAAAGGACGUAUAAAGAUCUACAGGUUUCAAAAACUAUAAGAGGGAAGGUUGACCACUUAUGCUUACCACUACUUGCAGAAGUGUCUAUCUCGCACCUGAAUGGAUCCCCUGCAUGGGUGCCAAGUUUAGUGGUUUUAGGAAAAAUAAGUAUUGUUCUUGUGAAGAAAUCUACAGUAGAAUAGAUUUGUUUAAAAAAUGUAUUUCAGCAAAUGUUCAACAGUUCAGUUAAUCAAUUACACAUCUCUGACAUUGUA
Salvelinus fontinalis (brook trout) is the source of this 2643-nucleotide long non-coding RNA. RefSeq lists it as uncharacterized. The transcript has 3 exons. The record is from RefSeq and is a predicted model, not a curated record. NCBI's taxonomy places the organism in Eukaryota, Metazoa, Chordata, Actinopteri, Salmoniformes, Salmonidae.